GACGAACGCUGGCGGCGUGCUUAACACAUGCAAGUCGAACGGAAAGGCCCUGCUUUUGUGGGGUGCUCGAGUGGCGAACGGGUGAGUAACACGUGAGUAACCUGCCCUUGACUUUGGGAUAACUUCAGGAAACUGGGGCAAAUACCGGAUAGGAGCUCCUGCUGCAUGGUGGGGGUUGGAAAGUUUCGGCGGUUGGGGAUGGACUCGCGGCUUAUCAGCUUGUUGGUGGGGUAGUGGCUUACCAAGGCUUUGACGGAUAGCCGGCCUGAGAGGGUGACCGGCCACAUUGGGACUGAGAUACGGCCCAGACUCCUACGGGAGGCAGCAGUGGGGAAUAUUGCACAAUGGGCGGGAGCCUGAUGCAGCAACGCCGCGUGCGGGAUGACGGCCUUCGGGUUGUAAACCGCUUUCGCCUGUGACGAAGCGUGAGUGACGGUAAUGGGUAAAGAAGCACCGGCUAACUACGUG
RNAcentral lists this ribosomal RNA (468 nucleotides) under uncultured bacterium. RNAcentral's name for it is "partial 16S ribosomal RNA". It matches the Rfam family "Bacterial small subunit ribosomal RNA", at positions 28 to 507 of the family's 1533-position model. The record is from RNAcentral.